GACGAACGCUGGCGGCGUGCUUAACACAUGCAAGUCGAACGGAAAGGCCCUGCUUUUGUGGGGUGCUCGAGUGGCGAACGGGUGAGUAACACGUGAGUAACCUCCCCUUGACUUUGGGAUAACUUCAGGAAACUGGGGCUAAUACCGGAUAGGAGCUCCUGCUGCAUGGUGGGGGUUGGAAAGUUUCGGCGGUUGGGGAUAGACUCGCGGCUUAUCAGCUUGUUGGUGGGGUAGUGGCUUACCAAGGCUUUGACGGGUAGCCGGCCUGAGAGGGUGACCGGCCACAUUGGGACUGAGAUACGGCCCAGACUCCUACGGGAGGCAGCAGUGGGGAAUAUUGCACAAUGGGCGGAAGCCUGAUGCAGCAACGCCGCGUGCGGGAUGACGGCCUUCGGGUUGUAAACCGCUUUCGCCUGUGACGAAGCGUGAGUGACGGUAAUGGGUAAAGAAGCACCGGCUAACUACGUG
This 468-nucleotide ribosomal RNA is filed under the name uncultured bacterium. RNAcentral describes it as "partial 16S ribosomal RNA". It matches the Rfam family "Bacterial small subunit ribosomal RNA", at positions 28 to 507 of the family's 1533-position model. The record is from RNAcentral.